This 317-nucleotide ribosomal RNA is filed under the name Chaetoceros curvisetus. Its description in RNAcentral is "partial Eukaryotic large subunit ribosomal RNA". It matches the Rfam family "Eukaryotic large subunit ribosomal RNA", at positions 2542 to 2847 of the family's 3401-position model. Lineage: Eukaryota; Bacillariophyta; Thalassiosirophyceae; Chaetocerotales; Chaetocerotaceae. The record is from RNAcentral.
GAUGCAUUUAUGUAUUUUUGAUUUGAAAAUUUGGUAUAACUCCAAUUACUCAGGUAUGAUCCAAUUCAAGGACAUUGCCAGGUAGGGAGUUUGACUGGGGCGGUACAUCUCUCAAAUAAUAACGGAGGUGUCCCAAGGCCAGCUCAGUGCGGACAGAAACCACACAUAGAGCAAAAGGGCAAAUGCUGACUUGAUCUCGGUGUUCAGUACACACAGGGACAGCAAAAGCUCGGCCUAUCGAUCCUUUUGGUUUAAAGAGUUUUUAACAAGAGGUGUCAGAAAAGUUACCAUAGGGAUAACUGGCUUGUGGCAGCCAA